AGGUAACCCUCAGCUACGGGCUGUUUGAGAACAAGAUGAACAGCAUUGAGCUGAAAGGGGUCUUUUCCAAGGACGAGGACCCUUCAAGAUUCAAGACCGUCCACUGUAGGCUGUACCCAUUCACGAGCUGGUGUCCGUGAACCUGAAAGAACUUCAACUCCCAGAAUCACCUGUGGUCAUUUACAGCCAUCUGAUUACGUUUUUGGACUCACUGAUGAAUUUAUCUUGAAGGACAUAUGAAUUCUGCUGAUGCUAAGCUAGGCUGAGCUGAGCUUGCUUAGAACUUGGGUUGAGCUCUUCCUUUGAACCCUUCCUUUCCAAGUGUCCUUAGUUUCGUAUGGCCUAAGGCAUCUCCAGGCCUCAGAUGUUGUUAAGAUCAAUAGGAUUUGGCCUUAUAAGAGACUCAAGGCAAAAAAAAUCCCUUAACUGGAACCCCCUUCAUCUGGAUGCAUAUUGGAGGACCAGUGCUUUCCCACAACCCCCCUGGGUUCUCUGAGGGGAAAAAAGGUCAAAGAGGCAGCUGUUCACAUUUCCAUUUUAUGCAUGUAAGAGUAAGAGAUUUAUGUAGAUCCUUGAAGGUGAGGACUCAAUGUAAUACAGCACUUUUUCAUUCGUUUGAUGAAUUUAUAUCAAAAUUUCAUUUAUUUGAUGUAUUGCUCAUAUUUUUUUUCCAUAUUGGAAUUGACACAGGGUUUUGUUUGAUGUAAUGUUUAAGAUGAACCUGAUUCAAGAGAUGAAUUCUUGAUGUUUUCUAAUUCUUGAUUUCUUGAAUUCUUGAUUCUUGAAUAUAUCCCUGUUCGGAGAGCAUUCGCCAUGUUACCAAAAUAGCCAACACUUUUAUAAAGGUCAUUUUACUGUCUUUUGACAUACACAGAAACACUGUGUAGAUAAUGUGCUUUUAUAAGUUUAUACGUUUAUUUGUCAGCAACCACUUUUUCCACAUGUAUUUCAUACACAUGUUCUCACUUCAAAACAAUAUACUGUAGCUGUGGUCGCUCCAGUUUGAAUCUGGCUGUUAUUAAACAAAACUCCUUUACAGUAUUGUUCAGCCUCAAGGCGUCAUGACACCAUGACAAACAAGCAGUUCUGACUAAAUAAAGACCCCAUCAAGAAAAACAA
Molecule: long non-coding RNA, 1119 nt
Organism: Clupea harengus (Atlantic herring)
Lineage: Eukaryota; Metazoa; Chordata; Actinopteri; Clupeiformes; Clupeidae
Gene: mfng
Exons: 2
Source: RefSeq, a predicted model, not a curated record